This 305-nucleotide long non-coding RNA is filed under the name Elaeis guineensis (African oil palm). Its description in RNAcentral is "long non-coding RNA (EGUI_LNC040768)". Lineage: Eukaryota; Viridiplantae; Streptophyta; Magnoliopsida; Arecales; Arecaceae. The record is from RNAcentral.
GGGGAUAUCUUACCUAUGUCAAGAGAUAGAUGGCUGAUAAAUUGGAGGAUAGAUCUAUAAUAGCUCGUUUUAUAGGAUAUCCAAAAGAAUCAAUAGAAUACUACUUCUACUUUCUACAAGAUCACAAUAUGAUUAUGAGUCAGAAUGUCAUAUUCCUAAAAAAAUAGUUUAUUCAGGAUGGUGGCAGUGAGAGUUUAGUUGAGCUUGAAGAGAAGAUCUCUAAAGAGCAAAGAGCUAUAGAUCCUCAAGAAUCCAUUAUUCAUAAGCCAAUAAUUGACGUUCCUCUACCACCUCAUAAAUCUAGC